GGACAGGUGGCCGAGUGGUCGAAGGCGCACGCCUGGAAAGCGUGUAGGCGGGUAACUGUCUCCAGGGUUCGAAUCCCUGUCUGUCCGCCA
Molecule: transfer RNA, 90 nt
Filed under: Paracoccaceae bacterium
Lineage: Bacteria; Pseudomonadati; Pseudomonadota; Alphaproteobacteria; Rhodobacterales; Paracoccaceae
Description: Rhodobacteraceae bacterium (subsurface metagenome) tRNA-Ser
Rfam family: tRNA
About the family: Transfer RNA (tRNA) molecules are approximately 80 nucleotides in length. Their secondary structure includes four short double-helical elements and three loops (D, anti-codon, and T loops). Further hydrogen bonds mediate the characteristic L-shaped molecular structure. tRNAs have two regions of fundamental functional importance: the anti-codon, which is responsible for specific mRNA codon recognition, and the 3' end, to which the tRNAs corresponding amino acid is attached (by aminoacyl-tRNA synthetases). tRNAs cope with the degeneracy of the genetic code in two manners: having more than one tRNA (with a specific anti-codon) for a particular amino acid; and 'wobble' base-pairing, i.e. permitting non-standard base-pairing at the 3rd anti-codon position.
Source: RNAcentral